Molecule: unclassified non-coding RNA, 675 nt
Filed under: Anneissia japonica
Lineage: Eukaryota; Metazoa; Echinodermata; Crinoidea; Comatulida; Comatulidae
Description: uncharacterized LOC117116247, transcript variant X1
Source: RNAcentral
UUCAAGAUAUUCGCGAGCUUGAAUGCUGGGCUCUGUUGUUCACCAAGAAAAUAUGGCUAGAAAAUUAUUAUUAACGUUCAAUAGUACUCUACCCACAACAACUGCAAGUUCCGGAAUCAACUCUAUCCAACAGCUUUUUGCAUAUGGACAACAAACACCAGGAGCAAUACCCAUUGUUGUAGGUUUUCAAGAUAAGCUGAUUUGUACUGAUGGGAUGAAGAAAUGGACAAUGAUUUAGUAAAAGAGAUGCUCAAUUCAAAUAUUUUUAGCUACAAAUAUAAUUCGAAGAGCCAAGGUUUGCGAUUAAUCCAUUCGGAGCGACAACAGACUGAAAUUUAUUUCCAUGAAUUCUUUUAUGUCCAUUUUACAUAAUUCUUUGCGACUGACUGUACAGGUCUACAAAUGGGUCGAACGGUCCCAUCUAUGAAUCCCCCCACCCCAACAGUUGUUGAGCGGUGCGCCCUUAGUUUGAAUAACAUUAAAAAAUUCUUGAAGCUUAUCUGGAGCAAGUCAUGGCUGUUGGAGAGUUUCCAAAAGAUGGUUACAAUUGUCGUAAAUAAUGAUGUCCACGAUCUUGCACGUUGCCAAAAACAACUCUGUUAUGACCGACCGAAGUUUGGAACCAUGUCUGCAUAUCGACGUGAUACGCAAAACGAUUUAAAAAAAAACAUACAA